Molecule: ribosomal RNA, 443 nt
Filed under: uncultured bacterium
Lineage: Bacteria
Description: partial 16S ribosomal RNA
Rfam family: Bacterial small subunit ribosomal RNA
Source: RNAcentral
CCUACGGGUGGCAGCAGUGGGGGAUAUUGGACAAUGGGCGGAACCCUGAUCCAGCGACGCCGCGUGAGUGAAGAAGUAUUUCGGUAUGUAAAGCUCUGUCAGCAGGGAAGAAAGAAAUGACGGUACCUGUCCAAGAAGCCCCGGCUAACUACGUGCCAGCAGCCGCGGUAAUCCGUAGGGGGCAAGCGUUAUCCGGAUUUACUGGGUGUAAAGGGAGCGUAGACGGUUAAGUAAGUCGGGAGUGAAAGGCCGGGGCCCAACCCCGGGACUGCUGUGGAAACUAUUGAACUUGAGGUGAGGAGAGGUAAGCGGAAUGCCUAGUGUAGCGGUGAAAUGCGUAGAUAUUAGGAGGAACACCAGUGGCGAAGGCGGCUUACUGGACCGUAACUGACGUUGAGGCUCGAAAGCGUGGGGAGCAAACAGGAUUAGAUACCCUAGUAGUC